Crotalus tigris (Tiger rattlesnake) is the source of this 834-nucleotide long non-coding RNA. RefSeq lists it as uncharacterized. NCBI's taxonomy places the organism in Eukaryota, Metazoa, Chordata, Lepidosauria, Squamata, Viperidae. The transcript has 4 exons. The record is from RefSeq and is a predicted model, not a curated record.
UGAGAGCUCCUGGUCAUGAAAUGUGCUUUUUCCUCAAAUCUCUUCGUGAGUUUCCACCGGAAUGCAUAAGCCGUUCUGCCCAACCGCGAUCCUAAUUAAAAACAUCAAUUAAAAUGGGGAGAGGGCAAAGUAAGCCUCCCCGCCCAGCGCCAUCUACCCGGGCGCUCUGGUUUCCAUAGAAACUCCAAACAGCCUCCUGGGAGUUGUCUGUGGGGAAGGAGCUGUCCGGACCCGGAUCGGCGGGAAAGGGAGAGUCAGCCUCGGAAUCUCGUCCCGCUGGCUGUGCAGUGCGCCAUGACUGCCGUACCUGGUAAUUGUGAGUUGCUGUACAGACGGUGGAUCUGGCACCUAGAAUAUGCAGGCAGGCCUGAAGUGUAAAGGAGAAGGAGAUAAUGACACAGAAAGGAGAAAAAGAUUUAGAAGGGGAGUUAGUAGAUUAAAGCCGGAUGGAGACGUGGCCUGCAGUGUCGAACCUAUGAACCAGCCACCAACUGCAUCACAUACUAGCAGAUACAAGCCAGAAGGUAAGUGGCCAGGAUCCAGCCAGAUCCUAUUUAGUGCGAGCAAUGCAAACUGCAAGCUUGAUGCUCCAUUCAAUAAUAAUGCUGUGUUAGGAAAAAGGCCAAAGAUGCUAGCAGUUUGAUGCCCUUAGGAAAAGCUUUAAGGUUUUAGGCCAUUCUUCAUUCUACGUCAGCCACCACAUUCUGUUUAAGAUUGUCAGGAGAAUUCUGCUGCUGAAUUAAAUCCAUGACUCAUUUAACUCUACAUUGUAUUUCUCUAUCAGAUGGCCUUCCGCCUGUUUUUCACAGCAGAUGUUUGCCAAAGGGAGGUUGC